UCUAAUGGCGGCCGUGACAUUGGACGAGCCCGGAGGCGGCCUCUACGCGCCUGGAGGAGGCCUCAGCCUCGUCUGCAAGGCCUCAGGGUUCACCUUCAGCAGUUAUGGCAUGGGAUGGGUGCGACAGGCACCAGGAAAGGGGCUGGAAUAUGUCGCUGGUAUUAAUAGUGGUGGUAGUACCACAAGAUACGCGCCGGCGGUGCAGGGCCGUGCCACCAUCACGAGGGAUAACGGGCAGAGCACAGUGAGGCUGCAGCUGAACAGCCUGAAGGACGAGGACUCGGCCACGUAUUACUGCACCAAAAGUGCUGGUGGUGGUUGGGGUUAUGAGGCUGGUUACAUGGACGGCACCUGGGCUCUAAUGUCCAGUAUUAUGGCCAUGGUUAUCAGCCCAGAAUGGCAGAUCAGAGCCCAGGUGGUGUCCAUGUAA
This is a non-coding RNA of Coturnix japonica (Japanese quail), 430 nucleotides long. The record is from the annotation of a RefSeq genome assembly. Lineage: Eukaryota; Metazoa; Chordata; Aves; Galliformes; Phasianidae.